ACUAGGAAGUUGAAUAAAUCUCAUAGGAGUUAAGAUGAAGAAGCUAUUCCACUUUCAAAUCAGGUGAUUCCAAUUUUCCUGUUUGGGAAUAUGACAACUUCUUCAUCAUUCUAAUCAAACUAGUAUGAACCGCGAUGUAAGAAGCUGUAUUUGGACACAUAAAGUAGUGGAGAAUCACUAGGAAGUUGAAUAAAUCUCAUAGGAAUUAAGAUGAAGAAGCUAUCCCACUUUCAAAUCAGGUGAUUCCAGUUUUUCUGUUUGGGAAUAUGACAAUUUUUUCAUCAUUUUAAUCAAACCCGGAUGAACCGCGAUGUAAGAAACUGUAUUUGGACACAUAAAAUUGUGGAGAAUCACU
Molecule: long non-coding RNA, 355 nt
Filed under: Brassica napus (rape)
Lineage: Eukaryota; Viridiplantae; Streptophyta; Magnoliopsida; Brassicales; Brassicaceae
Description: long non-coding RNA (BNAP_LNC015595)
Source: RNAcentral